Molecule: ribosomal RNA, 502 nt
Filed under: uncultured bacterium
Lineage: Bacteria
Description: bacterial SSU rRNA
Rfam family: Bacterial small subunit ribosomal RNA
Source: RNAcentral
AGGACGAACGCUGGCGGCGUGCUUAACACAUGCAAGUCGAGGGGUAACAGGGUAGCAAUACCGCUGACGACCGGCGCACGGGUGAGUAACGCGUAUGCAACCUGCCUAUAACUGGGGAAUAGCUCCCUGAAAGGGGAAUUAACACCGCAUAACACUAUUGAUUCGCAUGGAUUAGUAGUUAAGUGUAGCGAUACAGGUUAUAGAUGGGCAUGCGUGACAUUAGCUAGUUGGUGAGGUAACGGCUCACCAAGGCUACGAUGUCUAGGGGUUCUGAGAGGAAGGUCCCCCCACACUGGUACUGAGACACGGACCAGACUCCUACGGGAGGCAGCAGUGAGGAAUAUUGGUCAAUGGGCGCAAGCCUGAACCAGCCAUGUCGCGUGCAGGAAGAACCUGCCCUAUGGGUUGUAAACUGCUUUUAUAGUAGAAGAAACACAUCUACGCGUAGAUGUCUGCCAGUAUACUAUGAAUAAGCAUCGGCUAACUCCGUGCCAGCCGCCGC